RNAcentral lists this unclassified non-coding RNA (374 nucleotides) under uncultured Actinomycetes bacterium. RNAcentral's name for it is "uncultured actinobacterium contains 16S-23S intergenic spacer region". Lineage: Bacteria; Bacillati; Actinomycetota; Actinomycetes. The record is from RNAcentral.
UCCGAGUUGACCCCGGCAGUAUCCCAUGAGUUCCCACCAUUACGUGCUGGCAACAUAGAACGAGGGUUGCGCUCGUUGCGGGACUUAACCCAACAUCUCACGACACGAGCUGACGACAACCAUGCACCACCUGUGCUGGAUCCCGAAGGAUCACCGUGUUUCCACGGAUUUCCGUGCAUGUCAAGCCUAGGUAAGGUUCUUCGCGUCGCGUCGAAUUAAACCACAUGCUCCGCUGCUUGUGCGGGCCCCCGUCAAUUCCUUUGAGUUUUAGCCUUGCGGCCGUACUCCCCAGGCGGGGUGCUUAAUGCGUUAGCGACGGCACCGGGAGGGUCGCUCCCCCCGACGCCUAGUGCCCAUCGUUUACGGCGUGGACU